UGGGGAAUAUUGGGCAAUGGGCGCAAGCCUGACCCAGCAACGCCGCGUGAGGGAAGAAGGCCUUCGGGUUGUAAACCUCUGUCCUUAGGGACGAAAAAAAUGACGGUACCUAAGGAGGAAGCUCCGGCUAACUAAGUGCCAGCAGCCGCGGUAAUACGUAGGGAGCAAGCGUUGUCCGGAAUUACUGGGCGUAAAGGGUGCGUAGGUGGCCAUGCAAGUCAGAUGUGAAAUCCCCGGGCUUAACGCGGGUGCUGCAUUUGAAACUGCGUGGCUUGAGUGCAGGAGAGGAAAGCGGAAUUCCUAGUGUAGCGGUGAAAUGCGUAGAUAUUAGGAGGAACACCAGUGGCGAAGGCGGCUUUCUGGACUGUAACUGACACUGAGGCACGAAAGCGUGGGGAGCAAACA
Molecule: ribosomal RNA, 405 nt
Filed under: uncultured prokaryote
Description: bacterial SSU rRNA
Rfam family: Bacterial small subunit ribosomal RNA
Source: RNAcentral